AGUGAACGCUGGCGGUAGGCCUAACACAUGCAAGUCGAACGGCAGCACAGUAAGAGCUUGCUCUUACGGGUGGCGAGUGGCGGACGGGUGAGGAAUACAUCGGAAUCUACUUUUUCGUGGGGGAUAACGUAGGGAAACUUACGCUAAUACCGCAUACGACCUACGGGUGAAAGCAGGGGAUCUUCGGACCUUGCGCGAUUGAAUGAGCCGAUGUCGGAUUAGCUAGUUGGCGGGGUAAAGGCCCACCAAGGCGACGAUCCGUAGCUGGUCUGAGAGGAUGACCAGCCACACUGGAACUGAGACACGGUCCAGACUCCUACGGGAGGCAGCAGUGGGGAAUAUUGGACAAUGGGCGCAAGCCUGAUCCAGCCAUACCGCGUGGGUGAAGAAGGCCUUCGGGUUGUAAAGCCCUUUUGUUGGGAAAGAAAAGCAGCAGGUUAAUACCCCGCUGUUCGGACGGUACCCAAAGAAUAAGCACCGGCUAACUUCGU
This 491-nucleotide ribosomal RNA is filed under the name uncultured bacterium. RNAcentral describes it as "partial 16S ribosomal RNA". It matches the Rfam family "Bacterial small subunit ribosomal RNA", at positions 29 to 506 of the family's 1533-position model. The record is from RNAcentral.